This 440-nucleotide ribosomal RNA is filed under the name uncultured bacterium. RNAcentral describes it as "partial 16S ribosomal RNA". It matches the Rfam family "Bacterial small subunit ribosomal RNA", at positions 338 to 795 of the family's 1533-position model. The record is from RNAcentral.
CCUACGGGUGGCAGCAGUGGGGAAUAUUGCACAAUGGGGGAAACCCUGAUGCAGCGACGCCGCGUGAGUGAAGAAGUAUUUCGGUACGUAAAGCUCUAUCAGCAGGGAAGAAAAUGACGGUACCUAACUCAGAAUCGCCGGCUAACUACGUGCCAGCAGCCGCGGUAAUACGUAGGGGGCACGCGUUAUCCGGAUUUACUGGGUGUAACGGGAGCGUAGACGGCAGCGCAAGUCUGGAGUGAAAUCCCAGGGCUUAACCAGGGAACUGCUUUGGAAACUGUGCAGCUGGAGUGCAGGAGAGGGAAGUAGAAUUCCAAGUGUAGCGGUGAAAUGCGUAGAGAUUAGGAGGAACACCAGUGGCGAAGGCGGCUUCCUGGACAGUAACUGACGUUGAGGUGCGAAAGCGUGGGGAGCAAACAGGAUUAGAUACCCCGGUAGUC